GCGUGAGGGACGACGGCCUUCGGGUUGUAAACCUCUUUUGGCAGGGAAGAAGCGAAAGUGACGGUACCUGCAGAAAAAGCACCGGCUAACUACGUGCCAGCAGCCGCGGUAAUACGUAGGGUGCAAGCGUUGUCCGGAAUUAUUGGGCGUAAAGAGCUCGUAGGCGGUUUGUCGCGUCUGCUGUGAAAACGCGAGGCUCAACCUCGCGCCUGCAGUGGGUACGGGCAGACUAGAGUGCGGUAGGGGAGAUUGGAAUUCCUGGUGUAGCGGUGGAAUGCGC
RNAcentral lists this ribosomal RNA (280 nucleotides) under uncultured bacterium. RNAcentral's name for it is "partial 16S ribosomal RNA". It matches the Rfam family "Bacterial small subunit ribosomal RNA", at positions 399 to 691 of the family's 1533-position model. The record is from RNAcentral.